AGGUACCGUCAUUAUCUUCCCUGAUGAAAGAGCUGUACUACCCGCCGGCCGUCAUCACUCAUGCGGCGUUGUUGCUUUAUGCUGUCUCCCAUUGUGGAUUAUUACUCACUGCUGCCUCCUGCAGGAGUAUGGACCGCGGCUUAUUAGCAAUGUGGUGGACCACCCUCUUAUGACGGCUACUCAUGGUCGCCUUGUUGAGCCGUUACCUCCCCAACUA
RNAcentral lists this ribosomal RNA (217 nucleotides) under uncultured SAB reactor bacterium band 4. Its description in RNAcentral is "partial 16S ribosomal RNA". The record is from RNAcentral.